CAGUAGGGAGGAAGGUAGUGUAGUUAACACCUGCACUAUUUGACGUUACCUACAGAAGAAAGCACCGGCUAACUCCGUGCCAGCAGCCGCGGUAAUACGGAGGGUGCGAGCGUUAAUCGGAAUUACUGGGCGUAAAGCGCAUGCAGGCGGCCUGUUAAGUCAGAUGUGAAAGACCCGGGGCGUUAACCUCGGAAUUGCAUUUGAAACUAGGCAGGCUAGAGUCUUGUAGAGGGGGGUAGGAAUUUCAGGUGUAGCGGUGAAAUGCGUAGAGAUCUGAAGGAAUACCAGUGGCGAAGGCGGCCCCCUCGGACAAAGACUGACGCUCAGAUGCGAAAGCGUGGGGAGCAAACAGGAUUAGAUACCCUGGUAG
This 370-nucleotide ribosomal RNA is filed under the name uncultured bacterium. RNAcentral's name for it is "bacterial SSU rRNA". It matches the Rfam family "Bacterial small subunit ribosomal RNA", at positions 434 to 793 of the family's 1533-position model. The record is from RNAcentral.